Long non-coding RNA from Haliotis rufescens (red abalone), 433 nucleotides. RefSeq lists it as uncharacterized. The transcript is spliced from 2 exons. The record is from RefSeq and is a predicted model, not a curated record. Lineage: Eukaryota; Metazoa; Mollusca; Gastropoda; Lepetellida; Haliotidae.
CUUUGUGGCAGUGUCGCGCCCUGCCGUCAGGCUCCGGUCUCGUAUGCCCGGACGCCGUCUAUACUCCCACCCAUCAAGAGAAGUAUUUUAUUCCUUAAUCAAUCCCCGUCCUUAAUGAUGAUGGAUUUGGUAUCAGAGGAAGAGGCCGCCUCACUGUAAAGAUUUGAGAGCUAGAUAAUUACUCGAUCAUAAGUGUUUAUAAAUAAAUUGCAAGGACACCAUGGCAUUUAAUUGGCAGACCUAGCGAUUCAUUUUACGUUUAUGUUUCCAUUAGUAGACCACUCCCAUUUACGGACUACUGUUUCCUGAUUGGCUGAGAACAGGAAGGGCGAGGCUUGUGUUGCAUCAGCGCGCUGAACAAUGGCACUGAUUUCGUAGUCAUUCCUAACGUUGUUUUUUGUGUGUUUUAGUUAUUACAUUAGCAGUCAGUGAA